Molecule: long non-coding RNA, 3682 nt
Organism: Caretta caretta (loggerhead turtle)
Lineage: Eukaryota; Metazoa; Chordata; Testudines; Cheloniidae
Source: RefSeq, a predicted model, not a curated record
GGAUACAAUUAACUUAGGCUUGAAUAGAGACUGGGAGUGGCUUAGUCAUUAUGCAAGGUAGCCUAUUUCCCCUUGUUUUUUCCUCCCCCCUCCCCCCCCGACGUUCUUGUUAAACCCUGGAUUUGUGCUGGAAAUGGCACACCGUGAUUAUCAUACACAUUUUAAGGAGAGUGGUCACUUUAGAUAAGCUAUUACCAGCAGGAGAGUGGGGUGGGAGGAGGUAUUUUUUUCAUGCUUUGUGUGUAUAUAAUAAGAUCUUCUAAACUUUCCACAGUAUGCAUCUGAUGAAGUGAGCUGUAGCUCACGAAAGCUUAUGCUCAAAUAAAUUGGUUAGUCUCUAAGGUGCCCCAAGUACUCCUUUUCUUUAUUCUCUACCUCAGUUUCCUAUCUGUAAAAUGGUGGUAAAUACCCAUCAACUGCUUUCACAUAUGUGAAGAACAAAUUAAUUGUUUGUGAAGCACUUUGAUACUAUGAUAUGAGCACUAUAGAAAUGCCCAUGAAGAAAGGAAUAAUUUUUGAGUUAUUGCAUAUGCCUAGUUAACUGUAGGUGUGUAUGUACCAGUGCAUGGACAGUGGAGAACUUUUAUCCCUAGUCGGAGCCCUAAGGUAGCCUCCUCUGUGGUAGCCGCCUUGACCCCCAUCUCAUUUCCCUCCCAGCUAGUGAGUAGGGUUUUGAACAGAAUAGUUUCUGCCCUGUCAUCCUGACCAUAUUACCCUCUUCCUUAAAUCUCUCUACUAGCUGCCACUUCUCUGUCACAUCAAAUACAAGUGUCUGGUCCAUACCUUUUAAGGCCCUUUCUAACUCAGUCCAGCCCUUCUUUUCUACUUGUCAUCUGCUCUGCCAAUAAUGCUGUUUUCCAAUGGUUACUUGUCUGCUUCUUCCAAAUGACUUCCUUUUACUUGGAACACCCUUUCUGAACUUGUCAGUAAACCCCAGACCCUCUUCUUCAAAUGCUUCUUCAAGACCCAGUUCCCUGGUGAUACUUAUGGGAAACUGCCAAAUGCUAAUGGCUAGGUAGAUGAGUUUUGCCUGAUGUUUACCUACCUUAUAUUUUGUGUAUUUUUAUAAUAAAAAAAAGUAAAUGGACCAACUUGGAACCAGGUAUCUGCACCUAUAGUUGGCUUAUAUCAAUGUACAUUCUUGUUAGUUUUCCUCCCUCUCCGUCCCUUCUAAUUGUUUGUUAUAGCUAUUUGUAGCUAGUCUGAGGCCUGGUCUACACUACUAGUUUGUCAAUUUAGCAGCAUUAAAUCAAAUUAAUCCUGCACCUGUCCACACAACAAAGCCAUUUUUGUCAACAUAAAGGGCUCUUAAAAUUGAUUUCUGUACUCCUCCCUGACAAGGGGAUUAGUGCUGAAAUUGACAUCGCCAUUUCAAAUUAGCGUUAGUGUGGACGCAAUUCGAUGGCAUUGGCCUCCGGGAUCUAUCCCACAUUGCACCAUUUUGACUGCUCUGGACAGCACUCUGAACUUGCACUGGCCAGGUAUACAGGAAAAGACACGGGAACUUUUGAAUCUCAUUUCCUGUUUGGCCAGGCGAGCUCAUCAGCACAGGUAACCAUGCAGUCCCAGAAUCGAAAAAGAGCUCCAACAUGGACUGAACAGGAGGUACUGGAUCUGAUCACUGUAUGGGGAGAGGAAUCUGUGCUAUCAGAACUAUGUUCCAAAAGACAAAAUGCCAAAAGUUUUCAAAAAGAUCUCCAAGGCCAUGAGGGACAGAGGCUACAGCAGGGACGCAACACAGUGCCGCUUGAAACUUAAGGAGCUCAGACAAGCGCACCAGAAAACCAAAGAAUCAAACGGAUGCUCCAGGACAGAGCCCCAGACAUGCCCCUUCUAUGCUGAGCUGCAUGCAAUUCUAGGAGGGGCCGCCACCACUACCCCACCCCUGUCCGUGGACUCCGAUGAUUGGGCAGUCUCCACCAUGCCUGAGGAUUUUGUGGAUGGGGGAGAUGAGGAGGAGGACGAGCUUGAGGAGAGCACACAGCAGCACACCAUUCUCCCCAACAGCCAGGAUCUUUUCAUCACCCUGACUGAAAUACCCUCCCAACCCAACGAAGCGUGAGAAGGGACCUCUGGAGAGUGAUAUCGUUCAUGGUAACCUGGUUGAAAUAGGGGAAUUAAUUAAGGGGACAUUCAGAGCUGCAAAUGUUUCAAGCCUCCCUCCUCCGUCCCAAAGGCUAUCUCAGAUAAGGCAGCGAAAAAAACGCACGCACGAUGAAAUGUUCUCUGAGCUCAUGCAGUCAUCCGGCACUGACAGAGCUCAGUGUUGUACCAAUAAAAUAAAAACCAGCAGGAUCUUAUUAAAGGGAAAAAGGCAAAAUACCACAUUUAUUGUGAAUACAGAAAGAAUCAUAGUAAGCAGUUAGUUCUAGUUAUAACAUUCCAUUCAAUCUCAUAUUUAUUCACACAUUCAUUCAUUCAUACAAACACACACACACACACACACACACACACAGGUUCUGCAAGGUUGUUAUCAUAGUUACCAGCCUUAGAGUUGCUCAUGCCAAGCCACUGGCCAGGUGGCCUGGACAUGAGGAGGGAGCAGGGCCUUGUCAGAUGCUCAUCUGAUGCUCCUGGAAGUUGGUUUGCAGAAUCAGACCCCAAAGUUCUCACUUUUUAGAGUCUAUUUUUAUAGGAAUUUCUUCCUAUGCCAGUCUAUGGGAAUUGCUUCAUCAUGCUGUUGCUGAAUCAAUCAGCAGAUAGCACAUUCCUGACGGCUCCAAGAUGUUAUCUUGUUCUUUGGUUCUCCCAUUCUUGAGGCUGUUGGGUGGAUUCCAGUCUGCCCUCCGGGGGGUCCUCUGGUUAUUUCCACUUGAUGCCUUUUUCAGCCGAUGGACACUGGAUUCUUAGGCUGGCAUCUCCCUGAUCAUUCAGUUAUUAUGCACACCAAGCAUCCAUCCACAUACAUCCUCUAUCUCUAUUUUAAUCACAAUUGUUAAUACAACAAACGGGCGGGGAGUCUCUGGGUGUUGUUUCUGUUGUUAGAGUAUUGCUUUGAGUCUCUCUCUCUGUGAAUUGCUUUGAGAACAGACUCUGUCUUAGAAUGUACUAACACAAUUAGCAGCUUGCAAGUUUCACACAUAGAGGGAGAGAAACAGUACCAAAAACCAAGAGACCUCUUAAUUAGUAAUACCCUGGAAUUUAAACUAUGGGGAAUCAAACUCAUUUGUGAUUUUUAAUACAGAACUUCUUUAAUAUGAUCCAAUAUCAGCAGAAUGUGUGGAGGGACACAGGAGCACAGUACAGGAAAGCGGCCAAUGAACAUGAGGACAGGAGGGAUGAUCAAGAUGAGAGAUGGUGGCAGGGAGAUCAGAGGAGGCAGGAUGCAACGCUGGGGUUACUGCGGGAUUAAACGGACAUGCUUCGGCGUCUGGUGGAGGUUCAGAAACGGCAGCAGGAUCACAGACUGCCGCUGCAGCUCCUGUUUAACCAUCCUCCCUCCUCCCCAGAUGCCCAAGAAUGCCAGGCGGGGAGGCUUCGGGCACCCAACCACUCCACCCCAAGUGGACAGCCCAAGCAACAGAAGGCUGUCAUUCAAGAAGUUUUGAAGUGGCCUUUUCCUUCUCUCCUUCCUUCCUCCCACGCUCCACCUGGGCUACCUUGUGAGUUAUCUCCCUAUUUUUAUAAUCAAAUAAUAAAGAAUACAUGUUUUUUAAACGAUAAUGACUUUAUUUCCUUUGCA